GGGGGUCUGUUGUUUUUUAGCUUCAGUUUGAUCUUGUUUUCCACAGUAUUCUCCAUAUAGUUCUGACAACAUAUGUGGACAAACAUUAUACUAUCUUUUAUGUCAGAAUCCAACUAUACAGUGUAUUAAUAAGUCAAAUCACAACAUCCCACAAAGAUCAAUGACUCUUUACCAGAAGUGACGGAGCAGAUGAAGAAAAAUCCACCUUCAAACUGCCAGUAAUCAGCUGGAUCCUUGGAUCAUCUGGGGGGAAGAAAUAACAGGAGACACUAAGAUUCACUGUCAAGUCCUUAAAAAGUAUGAUUUAAUUAUUUUUUGUUUAACAUUACUUUAAUAAAGCUUAAACAAAUGUUAUUUAAAUGAUCUGUACCGACAAAGAAUGCUCUGACCUUCUGUGGCUGCUUUCUAAUGUUCCACCGGACUAAACAUCAAACACCUGAAGCUCAUCUUCAGACUCGCUGUGCAGACACCUGUGUAGGAGACACUGACAAUGUGCCCUGAAAAUAAUGGAGAAAUAUUCUGCCAUUUACUGAAGACCAGUAAAAAAAGUCAACAGACCAAUGGUGUAACUUCAUGACUCACGUUUGGAAGAGUGCUACCUGCAAGGCUGAAGGAAGGCCUGAAGUUGUUGAUACUAAAAACCCCACAAUGCAUCACUGCAUCUCGCCCGGCAGUUGUUGAUCUCAGCAGACUGGAAAGAGACAGAGUAGGUCAUGUUUAUCAAAUUACUUUAUUGUACUUAUUUCAUAACUACGGAACACCAAGUUAGAGAUGAAGAUAGCACCUAUGAUCAGAGCAGUAUGUUACUUAUUAGGAUUAAAAAAGGCAAAUAGUAUGAUGAAAUGUAUAUAUUAUGUACUGUAUAGAAGCACAGAGAACUUAACAUAAACUUGGAUUCAUUCAUUAUUCAUUAUUAUUAUUAGUAAUCAAAGAGACAGAAAUAUUCAGAACUGAUGCCAACACAAAACUACUGCUACAUAAAGACACUCUCUAUGGCUUUCAAGUUUCUAUUGUUUUCUAUUAUCUUAUAACUCAUUUACUCAUAUCUCAUAUCUUACUCAUAUCAACAAAGAUAGGCUAAAUAACAAACACCUCUGUAUAAACAGUAUAAUCUUCAUAAAGGACUGUUGUUUUAGACUGUAUCAGUUUUAGCUAGAUGUUCCUAAUAAAUUGUCAGCUGAGUGUACAUUAAUAAUUAUCAGCUGUGUGCACAGGCUGCAAAGAGCCUGACUGGAAUGAACUGAUUGCUUUUGGUGCUGUUUUCACCUGGGAACUGAUACUGGCUCCCUGGCAGCCUAAAGAUGUUGUUUAAUACUUUUAUCAUAUAUUAUUAUUAUCAUCCCCAUAUAAGAUGUUUUACCCUCCUCUUCCCCUUUUAAAAAUGUGCCGCAGUAACACGUUUACUCAGAGUACAUCACCUUUCAUCACCAGCAGUGAGGGACCGUUUACGUGCUGACGUCACUGUAGCGUCUCCUCGCCAGUCUCUGGAGUUUCUGUUACCGGUAGAGUUAAUGUUGUUGUUUUCUUCAUUACAGUGACUAACUACCUGCUGUACAUUUAAAUUGAGCAGUUCUGCUCCAGCACCCACAGCUCUCUGCUGCUUAUAGCGAGUUUCACUGAUUCAGCAUUUGUUUACAUGCUGUUUAGAACUGAUUGUUACUUUAGCUUAGCAGUUAGCUCUGGCUUCUCUCUCUCUCUUGCUCAGUGUGUGUGUCUCGGACCAACAAAUUAACUUGUACAUAAGAGUGUUGUGUUUUUGUCGCUUCAGAAUAUCUGAUGUUUAUUACAACUUCAGCGAUGUCUGCUGUCAUGCUGUGGACACACAGCUCCGCUAGCUAACCGGAGCUACAAACAAUAAGGUGAGUUAUUACUGCAGACACCCAGCAGCAGCUCUCCCACUCAACACGGUUUUUCAAAUUUGAUUCUUUAUGUGUUUAUGGUCUGAAUCUCUGGUUUGAAGUGUUCUUCAAUACAAUAUGAUGUUCAUUUUCUUUUAAUUAUGGUCCUAUUUAAAGGAAAAUAGACAUUAAAGCAGAGUGGCUUUAGGGCGUGGCUACCGCUACCGCUACCUGCCUGUUGAUCCGGAUAUGACGUCAGAGCGAUGUGUCGGACAUUUGACUUGUCACUGUGUUUUCAGUUCAUCAAAGUUAGCUCCAACAUGCUGUUUGCCUGAAAAUGUUUGUUCUCAAAGACUCAGAUGAGUCGGCCGUUCAGUUUUUCCCGGUAAGUUCAUUUUGUUUUAAGCCUGUUUCUUCGCUAGCCAAAAUUAGCAUCCCUGUUAAUAUCACGGUUCAGGUGAAGAUGCACCUUGCUAACCAAGCUAGCCAGCUAGUGUUAGCGUUAGUUGAUAACCUGUGUCAACCUAGGUUAGCCAGGUGGAGGUGUUCAGUCAAAGCCCAAUAAAAAGGUGAAUUUAAUCAACGUUAAUCUAAUGACGUUUGGUUUGUGUUUCUCCACGUGACCCAGUUUAAGUGAUCUGUGUUAGUGUAAUGCGCAGCGUUAAUGUCAGUUAAUACAUUGUACAUCAAGAUGUCUUGAUCAAGUUAAGAUAACGUGACAUAUGCUAAAUGUGUAGACAAAUAUUUGUCAUAUAGAAGAUUGUUCAUUUAAUACUCAAACCAGUCCUCAACUGAAGUAGACAUUCAUGCACCUAUCCUGACAGCUGAUCGAUAUUUGUGAUCAACUGUGAUCCACCACAUUUUGACUCAAGUGUUUGUCUUUUAUUGUCAUUUGAAAGGUUUCCACACUGUGAAAACUGAGUGAUCUGUGCCAACAGAAGGAGGAGCUCAUGUACAGAGCAGCCCAUUAGUUUCCAUUCAUCUGGCUGUGGAGAAGGGAGACUGCAUGGACAUCCUUAGUUCUCUUAUGUGCUGUGAUGAUGAUGAAGCUGGGUCGUAACAUAAAGACUGCCAACAUACAGUGACUGGUGAGACAGGCCCAUGACAUCAUAUACGGACACUCGAAAAACCAACAUGUCUGCAAGGAACUGAAACCUGGUUCUGUGAGCAGUCCACAGUCAAGUUAUCUACUGAAAUGAGCAUGUGCAUCAGCCAGCCCCGACCUGUCCUGUGUUGUGAUACCGCUUUGUAUGUUGAAGAACAACUUCCAGCAACUCUUGAAGUUAGCAUCACAAACAGAGGAAUGGCUGAACCUCCUAAAAGACAAUAUUCAUCUGCAUCCCGAAGGACUGCUCCCGACAAGAAACCACGUUCAACAGCGAAGAAAAGCAAAAGAAAAACUUUCCUGUUAGCCUGGAUCUGAGCCAGUACAGGUGCAAUACCGCCUCCACCUGUCUCACUAACGGCAAAGAGUCCAGACACAGUGAGGAGGGUCCAGGACCAGAAGUCCAGUCUAAUCACCACCAAUGAUGGACCAGCACCUGCCUUUUCUUCUGUAUCUGGCCUCAUCAGUCAUCAACCACGUUAUAUCAACACCUUGAGGGAUGGCAGACUCCACCUCAGGCCAGAAAAGGUGACAAAGAAGCUUGUUGGUGCUGCUUCUGAAACAGUUGCCUGGGUUACCAAUGUUGGUGUGUUGGCUUUCCAGGAUGGCGGCCAGAUUGAUGACGCCACAUCUUGGAGGUGGACCCCCGGAGGUUCCUGUUGGCACAUUGAGGCAUAGCGGUCCUCACUGGAGGGGAAGCACAGGAUGCUCGGCCUGACUGUUGCCAAGGUGAUCCAGAGGAUCUCCUGGGAGAAGUGGAGGCUCCACUGUUGGAGGAGGACACAUGGGGCAGAGGAGACGCUCCUCCUCAUCCAGGAUCUCCACGUCACCCUGGACGUCUCUUUGCUGGAUUGUCUCUGCAUCCAGGACAUAUGGAGACACAGAGGCGCCACCUCAGCUGCAUUCAGGACCCAGCAGGUGCAGCUGUACAGAGACAGGUAGACUGACAGAGGGGCGGGGUCAGCCUUCUGGUUUCCACCUUAACCACUUCAGCCCAGCCAGUGCCAAGUACUUCCAAGCUCCUGGCAACACCUGCCAGACAGAGCAGGAGGAAGAGCGAGUUGUCAGAGACCAGGAGAGGCAGCCCAGGUGACAGUUCAAGGCAGCGACGGGGAAGAACACCUCCUGUCCUGGGAAAGAGAGUCUCCAGAGCUGUCUUCUUGGACUGAACUCGGGCACUGCAAACUGGGCCAGUGUUAGCCGCCUUGUGGAGGCCGUUUCCAACCAGCUCUGCGUCUUCACCCGGUGGCCACGUGGUCCAGAGGGACCGUGAGGACUCGCUGGUCAUUCAUUCUCAAGGAUCAUGUGGCAUCAGAGAGGCAGUGCUGGUCGGCCCCAGGUUGAUGGCUCAGACCAACAUCCAGCUCUUUGAAUUGAAUUGAGGACUCAGUGGUGCUGGCCAGACUCUCCCUUCAGCAAAGGGUCUGUCCUUGGUCCAGGUGGGACAAGGACAGUCCUUUAACUUCAAUGUCCUGGAGGAGCAGCCUGGGCCCUCCAGCAGGGGUCUGCCUCCUCCUCCUCCUCCUCCAGAUGAUGAACAGCCUGGCCCCUCAUCAAGUGCUGUUGGUCCUCCCCUCGCUCCAGCACCACUCCCCUCUUCUGUUCCUCCACCUCCUCUUCCUGGACUACCUGUACCCAGGACCAGAGCCUACAGGAAGAGGAAGGUGACCUGAAGCUGCUGUGGCAGAGCGGGGGCCGCUGCCUGGAAGUUUAUAUAUUCAGAGAUGACAAAGACGCUCACUGCAUGUGCUGUGGUGCAGUGGAUGGAUGGGCAUCGGUUGAGAAAACAAUAUAUCAUUAAGUGCGGCUCGAUCGGGAAUGGUGUGCUCUGACUUUUCGUAGCGAUUCGAGUAACCAUGGUGACGUAAAUGACGUAAGCGACGUAAAAAUUCCCAUACAGAAUGAAUGGGGAGACGUUUUCAAAACGACCAACCCAGCCCUCUUUGGAGCUCUACUGCUACGUCACACACACACACACACACACACACACACACACACACACAUAUAUAUGUGUGUAUAUAUGUGUAUAUCUGUGUGUGUAUAUAUAUAUAUAUAUAUAUAUAUACAUAUAUUUUGACAGAAGAGAGAAGUCUCAACAUGGUAAGAGGGAAUUAUUGGCUAUUGGCAAUUUAUACUGCCAAACACAGAAGCACAGACACUUUCAAAAUAAGAGUCUAAAAAGGUUAAGAGGUAAGGUAAGUCAUAAAAGUUUGAUCUUAGAAGUGAUUGUCUAUAUGGGGAUGUAGUGGUAAAGCUCUAGCACAGUCACCACCUUCACAGGUGAAAGUAUCGACCAGUUUAACAUCAAACGGUGUUCAGUAGGAAACAGAUGGAACUGACCCACCAGAACUGCAACCUGGAGCAGAACCAGACUCUUCAUAGAUGUGAUGCUGUGACCUCAGAGACGGAUGUGUGACCUCACACACUCUUUAGUGUGAACUGAACAUUGACAGUUCAGAUGGUGAAGCAGGUGUCAGUGUAGUACAGCUCAUGUUCAUUAGUUUUAUUCACAACUUCAUUGUUGUCAUUGAAAAGGUGUUUAAUAAAUAAACCGGUGAUUAAAUUGUA
Seriola aureovittata is the source of this 5511-nucleotide long non-coding RNA. RefSeq lists it as uncharacterized. The record is from RefSeq and is a predicted model, not a curated record. The transcript has 11 exons. Lineage: Eukaryota; Metazoa; Chordata; Actinopteri; Carangiformes; Carangidae.